UAAGGAAUAUUGGUCAAUGGACGCAAGUCUGAACCAGCCAUGCCGCGUGAAGGAUGAAGGUCCUCUGGAUUGUAAACUUCUUUUAUCUGGGACGAAAAAAGGGCUUUCUAGCUCACUUGACGGUACCAGAGGAAUAAGCACCGGCUAACUCCGUGCCAGCAGCCGCGGUAAUACGGAGGGUGCGAGCGUUAUCCGGAUUUACUGGGUUUAAAGGGUGCGUAGGUGGGCAGGUAAGUCAGUGGUGAAAUCUUCGAGCUUAACUCGGAAACUGCCAUUGAUACUAUCUGUCUUGAAUGCCCUGGAGGUAAGCGGAAUAUGUCAUGUAGCGGUGAAAUGCUUAGAUAUGACAUAGAACACCAAUUGCGAAGGCAGCUUACUACGGGGUGAUUGACACUGAGGCACGAAAGCGUGGGGAUCAAACA
RNAcentral lists this ribosomal RNA (422 nucleotides) under uncultured bacterium. RNAcentral describes it as "bacterial SSU rRNA". It matches the Rfam family "Bacterial small subunit ribosomal RNA", at positions 355 to 774 of the family's 1533-position model. The record is from RNAcentral.